UGGGGAAUAUUGCACAAUGGGCGAAAGCCUGAUGCAGCAACGCCGCGUGCGGGAUGACGGCCUUCGGGUUGUAAACCGCUUUCACCGCCGACGAAUGGAGACGGUAGGCGGAGAAGAAGCACCGGCUAACUACGUGCCAGCAGCCGCGGUGAUACGUAGGGUGCGAGCGUUGUCCGGAUUUAUUGGGCGUAAAGAGCUCGUAGGCGGUUUGUUGCGUCGGGAGUGAAAACCCAUGGCUUAACUGUGGGCUUGCUUCCGAUACGGGCAGACUUGAGGGAGGUAGGGGAGAACGGAAUUCCUGGUGGAGCGGUGGAAUGCGCAGAUAUCAGGAGGAACACCGGUGGCGAAGGCGGUUCUCUGGACCUUUCCUGACGCUGAGGAGCGAAAGCGUGGGGAGCAAACAGG
Molecule: ribosomal RNA, 405 nt
Filed under: uncultured prokaryote
Also listed under: 1 other name
Description: bacterial SSU rRNA
Rfam family: Bacterial small subunit ribosomal RNA
Source: RNAcentral